UUCUUAGGAAACUUAUCAGAAAAUUAACCAGGAGUGAGGGAAAAGUAAUUUACACUGGUAAAAUUAAGCCAAACAGUGCUCAUAGGAUAUCUGCACACUCAUAGGGUAAUGCAUAAUAACCUAUUUGGUAAUGUCAGAGUCACCAAUGAAAUUCACUUACACUUCUUUUGGUGUAAUUUCGGAUGGCAUUUUGGGGUUAUAAGGAAGGUGAGACCAGACAUGCUGGCCCUCACUCUGUCACCCUCUGCUGCUGCUGCUCCUGAGUAUAGGGUUUGUUUAACACACUCUGGAGCCUGUGCUUUCACGUGGGAGGGUUGGCUGGGCACAGUUUCCCCCCAUCCAAGAUCUUACCCUGUCUAAACCUCUCCACCAGAAAAAUUGGGGAGUUAGGCAGAGGAAGAGAAGAAAGAACGGUAUGUUUGUGACAUCUCAAUUAACAGAGAAAACAGCUGUGCGUUGAUCUGAAACAAUGUGCCAUAUGUUACAACCUCCCUUUAUUUCUGUCAAAUUGCACCAUUAAGGAGUAUAUUCUGCUUAAUUGCCCUCUCUGUUUUUAUCAAAGGAUGUGGGUGUCCUGGAAAGGUGGGAAGAGGAGUCCUCCUUUUCUGGCCAUGUCCUUCUCUCAAGUGGGGGGAUGCCAGGCUCAAGGGGAGAAAAGAGCUAUCAUCCCUGGAGGAUGCUUCAAUUCUGGAAGUGCCCACACCUUGUCGGCUCGGAUGCACACCCUUUAGGAGGCGGAGGCGAAGGUGCCCGUGUGAGCCCACCAGACAACAUGGCCGCACGCCCAGCUCCACUGCUCUACUCUACCUUUGCCUAAAUCCUGCUCCAGGGCUCCUUUGAGGGCCAAAGAAGUGCAAGCCCACCGCGAAGAUACGGGAUCCCACAUGCUUGGCCCUGGCCUUUCCUGGACCGGGCCAUAGUGGGAGCUAGCGCUGUGGAAACAUCCAGGCGCCCAGUCAUUGCCUGGCCUCUGCCAAGUGUGCCCGGCCCCCAACCUCCUCGCCGCUCACCAUCCCUGACUCUCACUGCUCUGUCACCCCUUUGUUCACUUCCUAUAUUUUCACUCAGAUGUGGUUUAGUGUUUUCUUUCCAAGCCAUAUUUUGCACGGAAGAAUGCUUUCAGUGAGCUGAAGCCCUAAUUGCCAAAUAAUGGUUGCCAAAACAUGUUAUUUGGCUUCAAGCUGGUACAGAGCAAGAGGCGUUUUCUCCUUAUGGAAAAAAAAAAAAAAAACCCACCAAAAAACACCCUUCUUCAGCAGCAGCCCAAGGGCCAUUCGCAAACGCACAAACUCCUUGGCCCUUCCUCUAGCGGAAGACGGUGGCUGGGCUCGGGUCGCCGUCUCGCGGCGGGGGGCCUGGCCCGGGGCGGGUGGAAGCCGGGGAGGGGCGGGGCUCCGGGCGGAGGGCUCCAGGCUGAGUGGCGGCCGCCGGCCGGGACUUGCCUCCCACCGCCCCGCCGCACUGGGACGCGCCUGCCAGAUAACUGCUAACACAAGCCGCCCAGCGAGCACGGGAAUUCCAAAUAGAGACAAAUCUGGGGCCCCCGGGGGGAAGCUGGAUGGAACCGAUCAGUACGAGAUAUAUCACUGCUAAUUAAGUCCUGAUCCCCUGGCUCCACUUGAAACAAACCAGGGAGGGAUCAAGUUUUAAGAGCAGGUGCUAACUGGUUGCAAAAGACAAGUCCGUCACUUCAGGAGAAGGUUUUGCAGGUAGCUCCUCGAGGACACAGCGCGGGAGCCCAGGGCUUUGUCGAGAAAAUCGGUUACUGGACAGAGCCACGGGCUCCUAUUUGUCUUAGGACACCACACCGGUGAGCGCGGAAGAACCCUCUCGGCUGUAACAGAGAACUAUUUUCCUAUCCUCUGUUUCCCCCUUGAAAGCUGAUUGACUCUCUCCUCAGAUGGACAAUGGCCUAAUUUGCAGGCAAGUAAACACUCUCCUGGAGAUGCCAGUGGCCGUUUCUUUUCCGCACGGACAAUAUGGUAUUUGUUGGGGCUCAAAUGCCAGUCCAGAGCGGGCCUCACAUAACCUCCCACCCUGCUCGCUCCUUUCCCAGAUUGUUUAAGUAAAACACAUUCUGAGCACAAAUGUGUAAAUAAACUUAAUUGCAAAUAUUUACGUCAAGAAGGUCUGAGAGUCCUAUGAGGAUUGUGUGUGUAUGAAGAGCGAAUAGGUGCUGAGUGUUAAGGAUCUUGGAUGGACACCUUAUCUAACUUCUUCUUCAGAGACCUGCCCAUACUCCAGAAGUCUUGGUUUUAAAUGCUGGCUAACAGGGACUGGGCACUUCUGUGUGCCAGGGGCUCUGCCAAGUGUCUUCUGUGCAUCAGCAUUAUCUUUUCAUCUUUACAACCAUCCCCUGAAGUAGGACCUGCCAGAUGGAGAAGACAGGAAAUGACUACCUUUCACGGUGGCUCUUUCAUGUGGUUCCUUAAACAGCCAUCUGUGCUACCCAUUGCAAGGAACCGAAGAUUUCAAGUCACCUCUGGAAUCUUCUGUGUGACAGUUCUCCCGUAACGGCUCCUAAGUCAAAGAUCAACGGCCACCAGACAUUUUAACAUAAAACCAACUUUUAAUAAGUGAUUUCUGCAAAGGUCUCAUCCCUCCAAAGAAGAAAACAGUCUUUCAGAAGAAAGUGGCUGGCCGGAAGGGCGCUGCAUUUGCCCAGACCUCCCAGACAUCUCGCCAAAAAAACAAAACAAAACAAAAAAAAAAAACAACGACAACAAAAAACGCUUCCUUCUGGGUUGGUUUCUCUGUCGCUGCAAAUACCACACACGGAGAGCUGGCGCUCGGCUUCUGGAGAGCAACCCUGUGUAACAAAACUACUUACGGGAUC
This is a long non-coding RNA of Felis catus (domestic cat), 2836 nucleotides long. RefSeq lists it as uncharacterized. The record is from RefSeq and is a predicted model, not a curated record. The transcript is spliced from 3 exons. NCBI's taxonomy places the organism in Eukaryota, Metazoa, Chordata, Mammalia, Carnivora, Felidae.